AUUGAACGCUGGCGGCAUGCUUUACACAUGCAAGUCGAACGGUAACAGGCCUUCGGGUGCUGACGAGUGGAGAACGGGUGAGUAAUGCAUCGGAACGUGCCCAAUCGUGGGGGAUAACGUAGCGAAAGUUACGCUAAUACCGCAUAAGCCCUGAGGGGGAAAGCAGGGGAUCGCAAGACCUUGCGCGAAUGGAGCGGCCGAUGUCAGAUUAGCUAGUUGGUGGGGUAAAGGCCUACCAAGGCGACGAUCUGUAGCGGGUCUGAGAGGAUGAUCCGCCACACUGGGACUGAGACACGGCCCAGACUCCUACGGGAGGCAGCAGUGGGGAAUUUUGGACAAUGGGCGCAAGCCUGAUCCAGCCAUGCCGCGUGCGGGACGAAGGCCUCGGUU
RNAcentral lists this ribosomal RNA (390 nucleotides) under uncultured bacterium. RNAcentral describes it as "bacterial SSU rRNA". It matches the Rfam family "Bacterial small subunit ribosomal RNA", at positions 29 to 424 of the family's 1533-position model. The record is from RNAcentral.